RNAcentral lists this ribosomal RNA (397 nucleotides) under uncultured bacterium. RNAcentral describes it as "partial 16S ribosomal RNA". It matches the Rfam family "Bacterial small subunit ribosomal RNA", at positions 523 to 918 of the family's 1533-position model. The record is from RNAcentral.
AUGCGAAGGGUGCAAGCGUUACUCGGAAUUACUGGGCGUAAAGCGUGCGUAGGUGGUUGUUUAAGUCUGUCGUGAAAGCCCUGGGCUCAACCUGGGAAUGGCGAUGGAAACUGGGCGACUAGAGUGUGGCAGAGGGUAGUGGAAUUCCUGGUGUAGCAGUGAAAUGCGUUGAGAUCAGGAGGAACAUCCGUGGCGAAGGCGACUGCCUGGUCCAACACUGACACUGAGGCACGAAAUCGUGGGGAGCAAACAGGAUUAGAUACCCUGGUAGUCCACGCCCUAAACGAUGCGGACUGGAUGUUGGGUGCAAUUUGGCACGCAGUAUCGAAGCUAACGCGUUAAGUUCGCCGCCUGGGGAGUACGGUCGCAAGAUUGAAACUCAAAGGAAUUGGCGGGG